RNAcentral lists this ribosomal RNA (253 nucleotides) under uncultured Ruminococcus sp. RNAcentral describes it as "partial 16S ribosomal RNA". It matches the Rfam family "Bacterial small subunit ribosomal RNA", at positions 524 to 776 of the family's 1533-position model. The record is from RNAcentral. Lineage: Bacteria; Bacillati; Bacillota; Clostridia; Eubacteriales; Oscillospiraceae.
UACGUAGGUGGCAAGCGUUAUCCGGAAUUACUGGGUGUAAAGGGAGCGUAGGCGGGACGGCAAGUCAGAUGUGAAAACUGAGGGCUCAACUUUCAGACUGCAUUUGAAACUGCUGUUCUUGAGUGAAGUAGAGGUAAGCGGAAUUCCUAGUGUAGCGGUGAAAUGCGUAGAUAUUAGGAAGAACACCAGUGGCGAAGGCGGCUUUCUGGACUGAAACUGACGCUGAGGCACGAAAGCGUGGGGAGCGAACAGG